CAGGCUGUAGUUUAAAAAAAUAGUAAGGUGCAAAUUUAUAGAUGAGAAAUUCUAUCUCCAGUCUGG
RNAcentral lists this transfer RNA (66 nucleotides) under Cadlina japonica. Its description in RNAcentral is "tRNA-Cys". Lineage: Eukaryota; Metazoa; Mollusca; Gastropoda; Nudibranchia; Chromodorididae. The record is from RNAcentral.